This 603-nucleotide ribosomal RNA is filed under the name Papiliotrema laurentii. RNAcentral describes it as "eukaryotic LSU rRNA". It matches the Rfam family "Eukaryotic large subunit ribosomal RNA", at positions 51 to 659 of the family's 3401-position model. Lineage: Eukaryota; Fungi; Basidiomycota; Tremellomycetes; Tremellales; Rhynchogastremaceae. The record is from RNAcentral.
CGGAGGAAAAGAAACUAACAAGGAUUCCCCUAGUAACGGCGAGUGAAGCGGGAAGAGCUCAAAUUUGAAAUCUGGUAGCCUUCGGUUGCCCGAGUUGUAAUCUAGAGAAGUGUUUUCCGUGCCGGCCCAUGUACAAGUCCCUUGGAACAGGGCGUCAUAGAGGGUGAGAAUCCCGUCCUUGACAUGGACCCCCGGUGCUUUGUGAUACACUUUCAACGAGUCGAGUUGUUUGGGAAUGCAGCUCAAAAUGGGUGGUGAAUUCCAUCUAAAGCUAAAUAUUGGCGAGAGACCGAUAGCGAACAAGUACCGUGAGGGAAAGAUGAAAAGCACUUUGGAAAGAGAGUUAAACAGUACGUGAAAUUGUUGAAAGGGAAACGAUUGAAGUCAGUCAUGCUCUUGGGACUUACCUCCCUUGAGUGGGGUCAACAUCAGUUUUGAUCGAUGGAUAAAGGCACGGGGAAGGUAGCACUCUCGGGUGAACUUAUAGCCUCGCGUCAUAUACAUUGAUUGGGACUGAGGAACGCAGCAUGCCUUAUGGCCGGGAUUCGUCCACGUACAUGCUUAGGAUGUUGACAUAAUGGCUUUAAACGACCCGUCAAGACA